AACGAACGCUGGCGGCAGGCCUAACACAUGCAAGUCGAGCGGACCCUUCGGGGUUAGCGGCGGACGGGUGAGUAACGCGUGGGAAUAUGCCCUUCUCUACGGAAUAGUCCUGGGAAACUGGGGGUAAUACCGUAUACGCCCUUUGGGGGAAAGAUUUAUCGGGGAAGGAUUAGCCCGCGUUGGAUUAGGUAGUUGGUGGGGUAAUGGCCUACCAAGCCGACGAUCCAUAGCUGGUUGGUGAGGAUGAUCCGCCACACUGGAACUGAGACACGGCCCAGACUCCUACGCGAGGCAGCAGUGGGGAAUCUUAGACAAUGGGGGCAACCCUGAUCUCGCCAUGCCGGGUGAGUGAUGAAGGCCUUAGGGUUGUAAAGCUCUUUCAGAUGAGAAGAUAAUGACGGUACCAGCAGAAGAAGCCCCGGCUAACUCCGUG
RNAcentral lists this ribosomal RNA (433 nucleotides) under uncultured bacterium. RNAcentral's name for it is "partial 16S ribosomal RNA". It matches the Rfam family "Bacterial small subunit ribosomal RNA", at positions 29 to 507 of the family's 1533-position model. The record is from RNAcentral.